CCCUUAGAUGUUCUGGGCCGCACGCGCGCUACACUGAUCAGUGCAACAAGCAUCCGUCCUUGGCCGACAGGCCCGGGCAAUCUUUGAACGCUGAUCGUGAUGGGGAUAGACUUUUGCAAUUUUUGGUCUUCAACGAGGAAUUCCUAGUAAACGCAAGUCAUCAACUUGCAUUGAUUACGUCCCUGCCCUUUGUACACACCGCCCGUCGCACCUACCGAUUGAAUGGUCCGGUGAAAUCUCCGGACUGGCGUGAGUCGGAGCAAUCUGACAAACGCCGGAAAGUUGAUUAAACCUUACCAUUUAGAGGAAGGUGAAGUCGUAACA
Molecule: ribosomal RNA, 324 nt
Filed under: uncultured eukaryote
Lineage: Eukaryota
Description: partial 18S ribosomal RNA
Rfam family: Eukaryotic small subunit ribosomal RNA
Source: RNAcentral